ACCAGUAGCGGAAGAGAGACCGUGGGAGCACCAUGAAUAUGACUUUGAGUUUUCGAUGAUACCUGAAAAGCGCUUCAGAGCCGAUAGCGAAAUACUAUUUGAAACUGGAUCUACAGAGACUCAAAAUCCAGCGUGCAAUCAAUCAGACGAGAAGAUAACAGAUAGCAUCAAAAGUCAUCUCAAGACACACUUUGAAACACCUGGAGCUC
This is a non-coding RNA of Camelina sativa (false flax), 209 nucleotides long. NCBI's taxonomy places the organism in Eukaryota, Viridiplantae, Streptophyta, Magnoliopsida, Brassicales, Brassicaceae. The record is from RefSeq and is a predicted model, not a curated record.